Molecule: ribosomal RNA, 537 nt
Filed under: Onthophagus sinicus
Lineage: Eukaryota; Metazoa; Arthropoda; Insecta; Coleoptera; Scarabaeidae
Description: eukaryotic LSU rRNA
Rfam family: Eukaryotic large subunit ribosomal RNA
Source: RNAcentral
AAAGGCGCAAUGAAAGUGAAGGUCCGCCUUGCGCGGACCUAGGGAGGAUGGGUCCGUUCUCGAACGGGCCCCGCACUCCCGGGGCGUCUCGUUCUCAUCGCGAGAUGAGGCGCACCUAGAGCGUACACGCUGGGACCCGAAAGAUGGUGAACUAUGCCUGGUCAGGACGAAGUCAGGGGAAACCCUGAUGGAGGUCCGUAGCGAUUCUGACGUGCAAAUCGAUCGUCGGAACUGGGUAUAGGGGCGAAAGACUAAUCGAACCUUCUAGUAGCUGGUUCCCUCCGAAGUUUCCCUCAGGAUAGCUGGCGCUCGCAUUGCGAGUCUCAUUCGGUAAAGCGAAUGAUUAGAGGCAUUGGGGUCGAAACGGCCUCAACCUAUUCUCAAACUUUAAAUGGGUGAGAUCUCCGGCUUGCUUAAAGCGUGAAGCCGCGAGACUCGGAUCAAUGAGUGCCAAGUGGGCCACUUUUGGUAAGCAGAACUGGCGCUGUGGGAUGAACCAAACGCCGAGUUAAAGCGCCAAAAUCGACGCUUAUGGGA